CUCGUAGGUCGUUUGUUACGUCGGAUGUGAAAACCUGAGGCUCAACCUCAGGCCUGCAUUCGAUACGGGCAAACUAGAGUUUGGUAGGGGAGACUGGAAUUCCUGGUGUAGCGGUGGAAUGCGCAGAUAUCAGGAGGAACACCAAUGGCGAAGGCAGGUCUCUGGGCCAAUACUGACACUGAGGAGCGAAAGUCUGGGGAGCGAACA
This 207-nucleotide ribosomal RNA is filed under the name uncultured bacterium. Its description in RNAcentral is "partial 16S ribosomal RNA". It matches the Rfam family "Bacterial small subunit ribosomal RNA", at positions 568 to 774 of the family's 1533-position model. The record is from RNAcentral.